CUCACUGGCACGCCCCGGGGUGGGCAAAGACUUGGCGCGAACACACUCUUGCACAUGCGCACACAGCUAGCUUCCUGAAAGGAAGUCGGGCUGGCGCAGCGGAAGCCAGCGCCAUCUUGUAAUGGCGAAUGCUAUCGCGGCUUUCCACAGAAAUUAACCUCAAUGAUAAUGGGCUUUAGUGUUCUUUAAAAACAACAAAAAAGUGUCUAUUGAUUCAUUUAAUAUUGAUUGACUACUUAGGUGUUAAUAUCUGAUCUUGCUAUUUUUCAACUUAGAAUGAUAUUGACAACAAAUUACUAAACUAUGGGAGCCAAAAGAAGUCAGUAACCUGUCUGUAUGGCUACAGCUGCAAUGUAAGGCAUGGCUGGAGACGAAGAAGAGACUAUUCAGUGUAAGGAAGAGUUGUAAAAAAUUGCUCUAUUCUUCUUUCUAUAUGACUUUCCUUCUAGUGUGG
Molecule: long non-coding RNA, 454 nt
Filed under: Rattus norvegicus (Norway rat)
Lineage: Eukaryota; Metazoa; Chordata; Mammalia; Rodentia; Muridae
Description: long non-coding RNA NONRATT032022
Source: RNAcentral